This 355-nucleotide unclassified non-coding RNA is filed under the name soil metagenome. RNAcentral describes it as "partial contains 5.8S ribosomal RNA, internal transcribed spacer 2, and large subunit ribosomal RNA". The stretch from base 1 to 120 matches the Rfam family "5.8S ribosomal RNA", at positions 35 to 154 of the family's 154-position model. The record is from RNAcentral.
GAUGAAGAACGUAGCGAAAUGCGAUAAGUAGUGUGAAUUGCAGAAUUCAGUGAAUCAUCGAAUCUUUGAACGCACAUUGCGCCUUCUAGUAUUCUGGGAGGCAUGCCUGUUUGAGCGUCAUUAAACCUCUCUCAAGUUUGAUUACUUGGAUGUGAAGGAAGAGUACCUUAAACUUAAGGAGUGUUCUCCUUUGAAAUUGAUUAGCAGAUGGUAAUGUUAUUAAAUCCCUGAUGUUGUAAGAAAUAACAGUGGUUUUGUAGACUAUUAUCUAGUUUUAAAUUAUAAUUUUUAUUAUGGUUGACCUCAAAUCAGGUAAGGAUACCCGCUGAACUUAAGCAUAUCAAUAAGCGGAGGA